This 542-nucleotide unclassified non-coding RNA is filed under the name Hevea brasiliensis (rubber tree). Lineage: Eukaryota; Viridiplantae; Streptophyta; Magnoliopsida; Malpighiales; Euphorbiaceae. The record is from RNAcentral.
GUUUUUUUUUUCUGCCUUUCAGAGGCUUCCCCUGUCCCUACUGGGCAGGGAGGGCUCCUCUCCUCCGGCCUAGUCGAGGGUUUUACACUCUCUCCGCCCCUGGGUUAGGUGUAUAUAGUAUUUUUUGGGCUGGUUUUCUUCUGAAUUGCAGGUCAAGAACAAAUGGUGAGGGUGGAUUCUUGGAGACUUGCAAAUCUGUUGUGUGUUGGAUAUGGGUUGUUGCAUGUUUCUUGCAGUCGACUGUGGUGCUUUGAUGCUUGCUCUGUGAGAGGGUUCAGAUCCUUGGUAGAUCUUUAUAGAUGCAGGUAUCUCCGGGAGUCUUUAGCCGGUUAAGAAACCAUCUACGGCCGACCCUUAAGGCGUAUGUCGCUGACUAAGCUAUGCCUUCAUCACCCUCUGUUGGGCGUCUUCAUCAGCUCGUGUUUUUGGCCUUCGAAUCUUUGGUGGUCCAAUUCGACCUGCUGCUGAGUCGUUGAUCUGUGCUUGAACGGUCCUUGGUUCUAUGCCAUUUAAAUGAAAUGAUAUCUUCUGACAAAAAAAAU